GACGAACGCUGGCGGCGUGCCUAAUACAUGCAAGUUGAGCGCUGAAGGUUGGUACUUGUACCCACUGGAUGAGCAGCGAACGGGUGAGUAACGCGUGGGGAAUCUGCCUUUGAGCGGGGGACAACAUUUGGAAACGAAUGCUAAUACCGCAUAAAAACUUUAAACACAAGUUUUAAGUUUGAAAGAUGCAAUUGCAUCACUCAAAGAUGAUCCCGCGUUGUAUUAGCUAGUUGGUGAGGUAAAGGCUCACCAAGGCGAUGAUACAUAGCCGACCUGAGAGGGUGAUCGGCCACAAUGGGACUGAGACACGGCCCAAACUCCUACGGGAGGCAGCAGUAGGGAAUCUUCGGAAAUGGACGAAAGUCUGACCGAGCAACGCCGCGUGAGGGAAGAAGGUUGUCGGAUCGUAAAACUCUGUUGGUAGAGAAGAACGUUGGUGAGAGUGGAAAGCUCAUCAAGUGACGGUAACUACACAGAAAGGGACGGCUAACUACGUG
RNAcentral lists this ribosomal RNA (497 nucleotides) under uncultured bacterium. Its description in RNAcentral is "partial 16S ribosomal RNA". It matches the Rfam family "Bacterial small subunit ribosomal RNA", at positions 28 to 507 of the family's 1533-position model. The record is from RNAcentral.